This 653-nucleotide long non-coding RNA is filed under the name Brassica napus (rape). Its description in RNAcentral is "long non-coding RNA (BNAP_LNC026185)". Lineage: Eukaryota; Viridiplantae; Streptophyta; Magnoliopsida; Brassicales; Brassicaceae. The record is from RNAcentral.
ACGAGAAUGUCGUUUUCGUAAGUGUUGGAAAGAUCGCAACUUCCAGCGUGUUGCGACGUCUCGCGGUGCCGGAAGUUUGAUCCUUUUCUUUUGGUACCGCGUUUUUCUUGCGGGUUUUUUACCAAGGAUGCUUCUAUGAACAUUCGUGGGUUUGUCGGUUUUAGCGUGGUAGCUAAUUGCUUUGAUUCAGGCGUUUUGGGCAAGUCUUGGACCGCCGUUCUAGCCGUUUGUCAGAUAGUGGACUUUAGCGAUCGUAGCGUUGCAUUUUUUUUUUUUGUAAAAAGUUUCGAAAAGAUCAAGUUUUUGGAAGUUAUGGGAGUAUACGAGUAUACGUACCCACUCCCUCCCCCCCCCCCUUUUAAGAUGGGGGGAUAGUUGAACUCGCUGGGCGAGCUGCCUACGUACCCUUUUUCUGGGGAUCAAGCCAUCUCGUAGUUCUUUGGAUCCACGUUACGAUUAGUGGUAGUAUUUCUUAAGAUGCAUCCCGUUCCAGGUUCUUUGGAUCUAGACGUCCUGCAUGUUUGCGAUUUGGUAUGAUCCUGGUUUGACUACCUUUAUCACCCUGUAUGGACCUUCCCAGUUUGCUCCCAGUUUUCAUGCGUUACGUUCGGUAGUGUUUUGGAAGACUUUGCGAAGGACCAGGUCGCCUUCUU